This 489-nucleotide ribosomal RNA is filed under the name uncultured bacterium. Its description in RNAcentral is "bacterial SSU rRNA". It matches the Rfam family "Bacterial small subunit ribosomal RNA", at positions 28 to 507 of the family's 1533-position model. The record is from RNAcentral.
GAUGAACGCUAGCUACAGGCUUAACACAUGCAAGUCGAGGGGCAGCAUGAACUUAGCUUGCUAAGUUUGAUGGCGACCGGCGCACGGGUGAGUAACACGUAUCCAACCUGCCGAUGACUCGGGGAUAGCCUUUCGAAAGAAAGAUUAAUACCCGAUGGCAUCUUAAGCACACAUGUAAUUAAGAUUAAAGAUUUAUCGGUGUACGAUGGGGAUGCGUUCCAUUAGGUAGUAGGCGGGGUAACGGCCCACCUAGCCAACGAUGGAUAGGGGUUCUGAGAGGAAGGUCCCCCACAUUGGAACUGAGACACGGUCCAAACUCCUACGGGAGGCAGCAGUGAGGAAUAUUGGUCAAUGGACGAGAGUCUGAACCAGCCAAGUAGCGUGAAGGAUGAAGGUCCUACGGAUUGUAAACUUCUUUUAUAAGGGAAUAAACCCUCCACGUGUGGGAGCUUGUAUGUACCUUAUGAAUAAGCAUCGGCUAACUCCGUG